CCUACGGGAGGCAGCAGUGGGGAAUAUUGGGCAAUGGAGGCAACUCUGACCCAGCAACGCCGCGUGAAUGAUGAAGGUCUUCGGAUUGUAAAGUUCUGUGAUGGGGGAUGAACACAAUGACGGUACCCCAAUAGCAAGCCACGGCUAACUACGUGCCAGCAGCAGCGGUAAUACGUAGGUGGCAAGCGUUAUCCGGAUUGACUGGGCGUAAAGGGUGCGUAGGUGGUUUGGUAAGUUGGCGGUGUAAUUCCGGGGCUCAACCUCGACGCUACCGCCAAAACUAUUAGACUAGAGUGCAGGGGGGGUAAGUGGAAUUCCUAGUGUAGCGGUGGAAUGCGUAGAUAUUAGGAGGAACAUCAGGGGCGAAGGCGACUUACUGAACUGUAACUGACACUGAGGCACGAAAGCGUGGGGAGCAAACAGGAUUAGAUACCCCAGUAGUC
Molecule: ribosomal RNA, 443 nt
Filed under: uncultured bacterium
Lineage: Bacteria
Description: partial 16S ribosomal RNA
Rfam family: Bacterial small subunit ribosomal RNA
Source: RNAcentral